Molecule: ribosomal RNA, 1815 nt
Filed under: human oral metagenome
Description: bacterial LSU rRNA
Rfam family: Bacterial large subunit ribosomal RNA
Source: RNAcentral
GAUGUUGGCUUAGAAGCAGCCAUACAUUUAAAGAGUGCGUAAUAGCUCACUGGUCGAGUGAUCCUGCGCCGAAAAUUACCGGGGCUAAAACAUAAUACCGAAGCUUUGGAUUAUACUGUAGAGUAUAGUGGUAGGAGAGCAUCGUAUACAGUAAGAAGCAGAAUCGAAAGAAAAAGUGGACCGUAUACGAGAGAGAAUGUUGGCAUGAGUAGCGAGAGGAAGGUGAGAAUCCUUCCGGCCGAAAACCUAAGGUUUCCUGAGGAAGGUUCGUCCGCUCAGGGUAAGUCGGGACCUAAGCCAAGGCCGAAAGGCGUAGGUGAUGGACAACGGGUAAUAAAUCCCGUACCACCGUAGUUGAAUGAGCGAAGGGGGGACGCAGGAGGAUGACCGGAGCACGCCGUUGGUAGAGCGUGUCCAAGCAGAAAGCGAGUAAGACCAGGCAAAUCCGGUAAUACAAUCGUAAUCUGUGAUGGGGAGUGAAAAUAAAGUAGCGAAGCCGAAUCAUUCAAACUGCCAGGAAAAGCCUCUAGCAAGACCAAGGUGCCCGUACCGCAAACCGACACAGGUAGGUGAGGAGAGAAUCCUAAGGCCAGCGAGAGAACUGUUGUUAAGGAACUCGGCAAAAUAACCCCGUAACCUAGGGAGAAGGGGAGCCUGUGAGAGCAGGCCGCAGAGAAUAGGCCCAAGCGACUGUUUACCAAAAACAUAGGUUUCUGCAAAACUGCAAAGUGAAGUAUAGGAGCUGACGCCUGCCCGGUGCUGGAAGGUUAAGGGGAAGACUUAGAGCAAUCGAAGGUUCGAACUUAAGCCCCAGUAAACGGCGGCCGUAACUAUAACGGUCCUAAGGUAGCGAAAUUCCUUGUCGGGUAAGUUCCGACCCGCACGAAAGGCGUAACGAUUUGGGCACUGUCUCAACAACAGACUCGGUGAAAUUGUAGUGCCGGUGAAGAUGCCGGACACCUGCGACAGGACGGAAAGACCCCAUGGAGCUUUACUGCAGCUUAGCAUUGGAUUUAGGUAACAGAUGUACAGGAUAGGUGGGAGACUUAGAGUAUAGGGCGUCAGCCUUGUAGGAGUCAACGUUGGGAUACCACCCUUGUGUUGCUUGAAUUCUAACUAGAAUCAUUGAAUCAUGAUAUAGGACACUGCUUGGCAGGCAGUUUGACUGGGGCGGUCGCCUCCCAAAGAGUAACGGAGGCGUCCAAAGGUUCCCUCAUCACGGACGGAAAUCGUGAGAAGAGUGCAAAGGCAAAAGGGAGCUUGAUUGCGAGACAAACAGGUCGAGCAAGGACGAAAGUCGGGCUUAGUGAUCCGGUGGUAGAAAGUGGAAUUGCCAUCGCUCAACGGAUAAAAGCUACCCUGGGGAUAACAGGCUUAUCUCUCCCAAGAGUCCAUAUCGACGGGGAGGUUUGGCACCUCGAUGUCGGCUCAUCACAUCCUGGGGCUGUAGUAGGUCCCAAGGGUUGGGCUGUUCGCCCAUUAAAGUGGUACGCGAGCUGGGUUCAGAACGUCGUGAGACAGUUCGGUCCCUAUCCGUCGCAGGCGCAGGAAAUUUGAGAGGAGCUGUCCUUAGUACGAGAGGACCGGGAUGGACACACCACUGGUGCACCAGUUGUACUGCCAAGUGCACAGCUGGGUAGCUAUGUGUGGGAAGGAUAAGUGCUGAAGGCAUCUAAGCACGAAGCCAGCCUCAAGAUAAGAUUUCCCAUUCGAGAGAAGUAAGAUUCCAUGAAGACUACAUGGUAGAUAGGCUCAAAGUGGAAGUGCAGUAAUGUAUGAAGCGAACGAGUACUAAUCAAUCGAGGACUUGAUCCG